UACGUAGGCAGCAAGCGUUGUUCGGAAUUACUGGGCGUAAAGAGUGUGUAGGCGGUGUUCUAAGUCUGUUGUGAAAUCUCCCGGCUUAACUGGGAGGGUGCGGCGGAAACUGGAAUGCUAGAGGAUGGGAGAGGUAAGCGGAAUUCCUGGUGUAGCGGUGAAAUGCGUAGAUAUCAUUUGGAACGCCAAUGGUGAAAACAGCUCGCUGGGGGUUUUCUGACGCUGAGACACGAAAGCCAGGGGAGCAAACGGG
This 253-nucleotide ribosomal RNA is filed under the name uncultured bacterium. Its description in RNAcentral is "partial 16S ribosomal RNA". It matches the Rfam family "Bacterial small subunit ribosomal RNA", at positions 524 to 776 of the family's 1533-position model. The record is from RNAcentral.